RNAcentral lists this ribosomal RNA (744 nucleotides) under bacterium Lag12. RNAcentral describes it as "bacterial SSU rRNA". It matches the Rfam family "Bacterial small subunit ribosomal RNA", at positions 46 to 794 of the family's 1533-position model. The record is from RNAcentral.
GCUGCUUACCAUGCAAGUCGAACGAUGAUCCGGUGCUUGCGCCGGGGAUUAGUGGCGAACGGGUCAGUAACACGUGAGUAACCUGCCCUUGACUCUGGGAUAAGCCUGGGAAACUGGGUCUAAUACCGGAUAUGACUCCUCAUCGCAUGGUGGGGGGUGGAAAGCUUUUUGUGGUUUUGGAUGGACUCGCGGCCUAUCAGCUUGUUGGUGGGGUAAUGGCCUACCAAGGCGACGACGGGUAGCCGGCCUGAGAGGGUGACCGGCCACACUGGGACUGAGACACGGCCCAGACUCCUACGGGAGGCAGCAGUGGGGAAUAUUGCACAAUGGGCGAAAGCCUGAUGCAGCGACGCCGCGUGAGGGAUGACGGCCUUCGGGUUGUAAACCUCUUUCAGUAGGGAAGAAGCCCUCUUUGGGGGUGACGGUACUUGCAGAAGAAGCGCCGGCUAACUACGUGCCAGCAGCCGCGGUAAUACGUAGGGCGCAAGCGUUAUCCGGAAUUAUUGGGCGUAAAGAGCUCGUAGGCGGUUUGUCGCGUCUGCUGUGAAAGACCGGGGCUCAACUCCGGUUCUGCAGUGGGUACGGGCAGACUAGAGUGCAGUAGGGGAGACUGGAAUUCCUGGUGUAGCGGUGAAAUGCGCAGAUAUCAGGAGGAACACCGAUGGCGAAGGCAGGUCUCUGGGCUGUAACUGACGCUGAGGAGCGAAAGCAUGGGGAGCGAACAGGAUUAGAUACCCUGGUAGU